RNAcentral lists this ribosomal RNA (539 nucleotides) under uncultured bacterium. Its description in RNAcentral is "bacterial SSU rRNA". It matches the Rfam family "Archaeal small subunit ribosomal RNA", at positions 723 to 1262 of the family's 1478-position model. The record is from RNAcentral.
ACUAAAUAGAUACCCUGGUAGUCCCAGCCGUAAACGAUGCUCGCUAGGUGUCAGGCAUGGCGCGACCGUGUCUGGUGCCGCAGGGAAGCCGUGAAGCGAGCCACCUGGGAAGUACGGCCGCAAGGCUGAAACUUAAAGGAAUUGGCGGGGGAGCACAACAACGGGUGGAGCCUGCGGUUUAAUUGGACUCAACGCCGGACAACUCACCGGGGGCGACAGCAAUAUGUAGGCCAGGCUGAAGACCUUGCCUGAAUCGCUGAGAGGAGGUGCAUGGCCGUCGCCAGUUCGUACUGUGAAGCAUCCUGUUAAGUCAGGCAACGAGCGAGACCCGUGCCCACUGUUACCAGCAUAUUCUCCGGAAUGAUGGGUACUCUGUGGGGACCGCCGAUGUUAAAUCGGAGGAAGGUGCGGGCCACGGUAGGUCAGUAUGCCCCGAAUCUCCCGGGCUACACGCGGGCUACAAUGGAUGGGACAAUGGGUCCCUACCCUGAAAAGGGCUGGUAAUCUCACAAACCCAUUCGUAGUUCGGAUCGAGGGCU